RNAcentral lists this ribosomal RNA (497 nucleotides) under uncultured Glomeromycotina. RNAcentral's name for it is "partial small subunit ribosomal RNA". It matches the Rfam family "Eukaryotic small subunit ribosomal RNA", at positions 591 to 1092 of the family's 1831-position model. Lineage: Eukaryota; Fungi; Glomeromycota. The record is from RNAcentral.
CCAAUAGCGUAUAUUAAAGUUGUUGCAGUUAAAAAGCUCGUAGUUGAAUUUCGGGAUCAGUAUGUUGGUCGUGCUUCGGUACGUACUGUCAUUACUGGUUUCUACCUUCUGAAGAACCUUGAUGUCAUUAAUUUGGUGUCUUGGGGAAUCAGGACUGUUACUUUGAAAAAAUUAGAGUGUUUAAAGCAAGCAUACGCUUGAAUACAUUAGCAUGGAAUAAUGAAAUAGGACGUUUGAUUCUAUUUUGUUGGUUUCUAGGAUCGACGUAAUGAUUAAUAGGGAUAGUUGGGGGCAUUAGUAUUCAAUUGUCAGAGGUGAAAUUCUUGGAUUUAUUGAAGACUAACUACUGCGAAAGCAUUUGCCAAGGAUGGUUUCAUUAAUCAAGAACGAAAGUUAGGGGAUCGAAGACGAUCAGAUACCGUCGUAGUCUUAACCAUAAACUAUGCCGACUAGGGAUCGGAUGAUGUUAUUUUUAAUGACUCAUUCGGCGCCUUACG